RNAcentral lists this unclassified non-coding RNA (253 nucleotides) under Hevea brasiliensis (rubber tree). Lineage: Eukaryota; Viridiplantae; Streptophyta; Magnoliopsida; Malpighiales; Euphorbiaceae. The record is from RNAcentral.
AAGACCAAGAGGGGAGAGGCGGCGCUGGCAAGGCUGAAGGCGUACGAGGGCGUGCCGCCGCCGUACGACAGGACCAAGCGCAUGGUCAUCCCCGACGCGCUCAAGGUUCUGAGGCUGCAGCCUGGGCACAAGUACUGCCUCCUCGGCCAGCUCUCCAAGGAGGUUGGCUGGAACUACUAUGACACCAUCAGGGAGCUUGAGGAGAAGAGGAAGGAGAAGGCCAAGGUUGCCUAUGACAGGAGGAAGCAACUGG